UUCGCAAUGCCCGAAAGGGUGACGAAGCGACGCCGCGUGGGUGAGGAAGGCCUUCGGGUUGUAAAACCCUGUCAGGAGUUAAGAAGUGUAAGUGUGCUAAUAUCGUGCUUAUUUGACAAAGGCUCCAAAGGAAGCCACGGCUAACUCUGUGCCAGCAGCCGCGGUAAUACAGAGGUGGCGAGCGUUGUUCGGAAUUAUUGGGCGUAAAGAGCACGUAGGUGGGUUUGCAAGUCAGAUGUGAAAGCCUUCUGUUCAACGGAAGAAUUGCAUCUGAAACUGCUAAUCUUGAGUAUAGAGGGGAGAAUGGAACUUCUGGUGGAGCGGUGAAAUGCGUAGAUAUCAGAAGGAACGCCGGCGGCGAAAGCGAUUCCCUGGCCUAUUACUGACACUCAGUGUGCGAAAGCUAGGGGAGCAAACGGGAUUAGAUACCCCGGUAGUCCUAGCCGUAAACGAUGGGCACUAAGUAGAGGGGUUUU
RNAcentral lists this ribosomal RNA (476 nucleotides) under Candidatus Scalindua brodae. RNAcentral describes it as "bacterial SSU rRNA". It matches the Rfam family "Bacterial small subunit ribosomal RNA", at positions 365 to 832 of the family's 1533-position model. The record is from RNAcentral. RNAcentral also lists the same sequence under 1 other name. Lineage: Bacteria; Pseudomonadati; Planctomycetota; Candidatus Brocadiia; Candidatus Brocadiales; Candidatus Scalinduaceae.